AAAAAAAGAAUAUUUUAUUAAAUAAUAAAAUAAAAAAAUAAAUUUUCUUAAAAAGGAGAUUAGCUUAACUUGCCUAAUUACAUUUUGAAUUUAUAUUAUAGGCCCACUCUCUCCAACAUCACGAAGAGGAUGAAUUAUGAGGAAGGAAAAGGACUUAGAAAGAACCAAUAAGGCAUCAUAGAGCUACCUUAGAUCCACACUUAAAGGGACCGACUACGCUUAGGAUAUAAAUUUGGAAGCACGCCAAAGAGAACAUAUGACUAGUUGGACAUGGCUGGACGAAUCAUCCGUUCGAAUGUUAAUGAUAUUUUGGGAGUUAAGCCGAAGAAGCUUGAGGAAGAGAAAGAAUAGAAAGAAGAAGAGAAGUCACUCGAGAAAGAGGGGGUUGAGGAGACACAAGCGGCCGAGGAGGAAAGAAAGAAAACCAGAAGAGGGGCAAGUUGCCUAGGACGAAAGGAAGGAAGAAUAGAAUAAAGUGAAGGUGAGCGCGAAAGAAGAAGAGGACCGAUCAUGUGUUACAAGCGAUCCGGGCCUGCAUAGAAGAGGGCUUUGAAGAAGCUGAAGUUCCUUCUAAUGUGUUGAUUUCUAUUAGUGAUGAGUUUGACUGUAAUGAACUUUUUAUGCUAUUUAAUGAAAUAAACUUCAAUUUUGCUUA
Long non-coding RNA from Jatropha curcas, 655 nucleotides. RefSeq lists it as uncharacterized. The record is from RefSeq and is a predicted model, not a curated record. NCBI's taxonomy places the organism in Eukaryota, Viridiplantae, Streptophyta, Magnoliopsida, Malpighiales, Euphorbiaceae.